GAUGAACGCUGGCGGCGUGCCUAAUACAUGCAAGUCGAGCGAACAGAUGAGGAGCUUGCUCCUCUGACGUUAGCGGCGGACGGGUGAGUAACACGUGGAUAACCUACCUAUAAGACUGGGAUAACUUCGGGAAACCGGAGCUAAUACCGGAUAAUAUAUUGAACCGCAUGGUUCAAUAGUGAAAGACGGUUUUGCUGUCACUUAUAGAUGGAUCCGCGCCGCAUUAGCUAGUUGGUAAGGUAACGGCUUACCAAGGCGACGAUGCGUAGCCGACCUGAGAGGGUAAUCGGCCACACUGAAACUGAGACACGGUCAGACUCCUACGGGAGGCAGCAGUAGGGAAUCUUCCGCAAUGGGCGAAAGCUUGACGGAGCAACGCCGCGUGAGUGAUGAAGGUCUUCGGAUCGUAAAACUCUGUUAUUAGGGAAGAACAAAUGUGUAAGUAACUAUGCACGUCUUGACGGUACCUAAUCAGAAAGCCACGGCUAACUACGUG
This 496-nucleotide ribosomal RNA is filed under the name uncultured bacterium. RNAcentral's name for it is "partial 16S ribosomal RNA". It matches the Rfam family "Bacterial small subunit ribosomal RNA", at positions 28 to 507 of the family's 1533-position model. The record is from RNAcentral.